This 194-nucleotide long non-coding RNA is filed under the name Prolemur simus (greater bamboo lemur). Its description in RNAcentral is "Pvt1 onco conserved region 2 (ENSPSMG00000005369.1)". It matches the Rfam family "Pvt1 oncogene conserved region 2". The record is from RNAcentral. Lineage: Eukaryota; Metazoa; Chordata; Mammalia; Primates; Lemuridae.
GACCGCAGCUGUCAGCAGUGGAGGAAGCUGACUAUUAAGGGGAAAUAAGUGUUAUUAGGAGUCCCGCUGUCACUGUGGAUUGAGCCUGCAUCCUGAGCCCUGAGGCUGUCUCCGGUGGUGGCCCUCCUCCUCCUCCCUCGGUAGGGAUGGAUAGAGGAAGCAGCUAGAGGCCUUGGCAGUGAGGACCCCUAAGG